UAGGGAAUCUUCCACAAUGGACGCAAGUCUGAUGGAGCAACGCCGCGUGAGUGAAGAAGGUCUUCGGAUCGUAAAACUCUGUUGUUAGAGAAGAACGCGAGUGAGAGUAACUGUUCAUUCGAUGACGGUAUCUAACCAGCAAGUCACGGCUAACUACGUGCCAG
This 164-nucleotide ribosomal RNA is filed under the name uncultured bacterium. RNAcentral describes it as "partial 16S rRNA". It matches the Rfam family "Bacterial small subunit ribosomal RNA", at positions 355 to 511 of the family's 1533-position model. The record is from RNAcentral.